Molecule: small nuclear RNA, 106 nt
Organism: Hyaena hyaena (striped hyena)
Lineage: Eukaryota; Metazoa; Chordata; Mammalia; Carnivora; Hyaenidae
Source: RefSeq, a predicted model, not a curated record
AGACUCUUUGGCAGCACAUACACUAAAAUUAGAACGAUAAAGAGAAGGUUUGCAUGGCCCCUACACAAGGAUGACUUGCAAAUUUGUGAUGCCAUUCCACAUAUUU